UUAGGGCAGAAGAAGGUGCAGUGCCCCCGGAACAAGGGUGGGCAGUACUGGAGCAGAAAUUUCUGCUGGACGGCACUGAUGUGGACACUUCACAGAAGCGAAACGCACAAGCAGAAUGAGCCAAGAACACGCUGGUGGUCAGGGCAAGGCACGUACAGAACAAGGAAGGAGCAAACACCAGAGGCAGCUGGAGUCCAGAAAUGAUUUUUUUUCGGUGAAUUUAGGAUUUUGCCGCAGUAUACAUCUGCAGUCCCAGAAUCCUCCGGUAAUUCAAAAGCAUCUGUUUUAGGGAAGGGAUGCCUUACACUCAGGUUCCGUCUUCUACUGCUUGAUAUGCCAGUGGCCUGAAAGCAUGACAAGAAAUAUCUUCUCUCUUUAACUAGCCGGAGACACUUGGUUUCUAAGAACACAGCUUAAAAAUUAAAACCACUUGUCUGUCGCCAUUUCAUAAAAUUAAUUUAUGUCAAACCCAGGAUGACCGGCUCUAGAAGGAAAAGGCAAAAAACAGGUAACCAACUGUUUUUAUGAAAUGUAUUGUCCAAGGUCAAUUUUUUAAAAAAUUAUUUAACAAAAUUUCUUAUUUUACCAAACUCAGGUAUUUCGAUACUGUAUUUUUCUUUGGUUUAAUGAUAGUAUUUGUCUUCAUUCUAUAGAAGUUAUUCAUCUCAUAUUUUUGGUGAGACAACUAGAACAAUUUCUGCCUUAUGAAACAUGCAAAUAAAAAUUAGGAGCAAUGUUAAGUUUAACUAACUUGCUUUAAUGCUAGUCAACCAGUAAUUCUUCAGUGAACUUAUUAUGACAGGAAAAACAGCAUGUUGCAUUGUUGCAAAUUUUACCUUUUUUUUUAUAACAUGUAUUUGUUUAUGGUGUCAAUAGGGAUUAAAAAUCCUAAUUCUAAAUUUAAAGUAUUUAAACUAUAGAAAAAUGAUUCCAUUAUUUUGGUAAUGGAACACAGAAACAGAAAUACAGAAAUGUUUUUUUACUUUAGAUCUUCCAAUGGUGCAGAUAUUUCUUAGCCAAUUUCAAGAGUGCCUUAUUUAACAACAAAAAAACUGCAUAUAGAAAAACAACACUAAAAAAAAACCCUGCAAAAGUGGUGAAUCUGUCGUCUGAUUUUGAAUGUAUGACUUUAAUCAAAUCAAUUGCAUAUUCCUUAACUCUGCAAAUGACAAUCAAAAUUAGGAAUCAGUACCUGAAAACUCCAUUUAUACUUCUGAGUUUAUAUUAGAAACAUGGCUUUAAUGAAAUACCUUUUUUCGGUUCAAUCUUUUUGAAUUGUGAGUACAACCAAUAGCUAUACUCAAUUCUACAGAAUUACUAGGGAAGAUACUAAUGAGAAGGUCUUUCUAGACAAUGGAGUCACUGAACGUCAUCUUAAGUGUGUGGACUUUUUCCACUGCAGUGGCCCACAUGUGCUAUGGUGACAGACGGCAGUUGGCAUUACCAUUUAUAUAGUAAAACAUCUUUAAGACAAAAAUAAAAGUUAUUUCAAGAAUAUGCUGUCCCUGAAACACAAGCUAUGCCUUAAGCUACAUAUCCUACCUCCAUGAGUGCAUAAGUAAGUGGGUUUCCUGCCUGGAUCUAUGUGUAAAGACCUAUUGUUUGCAUGUAUUAAUUGCGGUCCUGGGAUAAAAGCACAGAGGUAACUUUCACUGUUGCUUUUUGUACUCUCUCCAAUGUUUUGGAGGAAAAAUAAGCACAAACAAUAGACUAGAGAAAGUGAAGCGAUCGUAAUUGUUGCAGCUUUGACAAAUGCCAAUUUUGCUGCAUUACAAUGGGAAACAUUUUUCAGCCUAUAAAAAUUAAUUACAAAACGUUUUUAAAGUCAGUUAAAAAAAUUAGAGGCUGCCUAAUCGAUCGCUUUUUCUAUAAACAUACUUCGAUUUCUCAAGUAAUACCGUAAAAAUCGUCUUCUCCAAAGAAAAAUCCCCACAAAUAAAUCUAUUGAUACCUAGUGACAAGUGGAACCAGAUAAAAAUGCAAUCUAUAAGAAUUAACUUAAUUGACAGUGCUCUGGAGCUAAUCCAUUUCCACUAGUUACUUGUUCACAGUAGGUACUCAGAAGGACUUGUUGAACUGCGGGCUUGGCGCCCAUCCUACGGGGAGUUCACAGCCCUCGCGAGUGGGAUCGAGGUCGGCUUGGCCCGUGGUUCGGGUCGAAACUCAAGCUGAGCCGCCUGCUGAGAGGUGGGACCCAGCAUCCAGACAGUG
RNAcentral lists this long non-coding RNA (2211 nucleotides) under Aotus nancymaae (Ma's night monkey). Its description in RNAcentral is "lncRNA (ENSANAG00000039272.1)". Lineage: Eukaryota; Metazoa; Chordata; Mammalia; Primates; Aotidae. The record is from RNAcentral.